AGUGAGUGAUGACCACUUCUACCCUGAUAAUAAUGAGGGUACAAACUGAUUUAAUGAGUCUGACAC
Sardina pilchardus (European sardine) is the source of this 66-nucleotide small nucleolar RNA. Lineage: Eukaryota; Metazoa; Chordata; Actinopteri; Clupeiformes; Clupeidae. The record is from RefSeq and is a predicted model, not a curated record.